UGAGCAAUCUGCCCUUCUCUUUGGAAUAAGCGUUGGAAACGACGUCUAAUGCCGAAUACGACCUCCUUUCGCAUGAUCGGAGGUGGAAAGCCCCGGCGGAGAAGGAUGAGCUCGCGGCCUAUCAGCUAGUUGGUGUGGGUAAUGGCCCACCAAGGCGACGACGGGUAGCCGGCCUGAGAGGGUGACCGGCCACACUGGGACUGAGACACGGCCCAGACUCCUACGGGAGGCAGC
RNAcentral lists this ribosomal RNA (234 nucleotides) under uncultured bacterium. RNAcentral describes it as "partial 16S ribosomal RNA". It matches the Rfam family "Bacterial small subunit ribosomal RNA", at positions 118 to 352 of the family's 1533-position model. The record is from RNAcentral.